CGCUCUCGUAUCAUUAACGCCUGCACAAACAAAAAAAUGAAGUCCGAGUCCCCGCCGACCCAGACACAGGACACAGGACACAGGACACAGGACAUCUGCACAGUGGUACUUCUCUUAUCUGUUUAAUAUUGUUCAUUUUUGCUUGUGUAUUGGUAUCUUAUUUUAUUGUUUUCUUUUCACAUUGCUGUAUGUGUAACAUACGUGGCAAAGAACGGCUUCUGAUUCUGAACGUUGAUGAACUGAGUUCUGUCAAAAACAAGAGAGAACGCGACUUUGAGGCACUUCCGGCCUCCUCGUGACUGCGUGUGAAGUCUCAUUAGAUAUGAGCGCUCGUUACCAAACUAAAUUCAACGCGAUGCAUCGUGUAUCCCGCUCGUGCUCUUUGUUUACGGCUUCGCCAAACACAGCGGCGUUGGCGUGAGCCGGUACGAAGCGGAGGCGGAGAGGCACUAACGGCCUCACAACAACGCUAAUUAGAUCUCACAGUUCCAGCGCUCAGAGGAUUACUUCUGAUCUACAGGAGCCACUUGAGCUCAGUUUGCUGCUCUGUGACUCAGAGGCGAAAGGGUAUCAACCUUUUUUAGGAUUUUGCGCCGUUUGUAUGCAGAGUGAAACCAAAAAGACGGCCGAUCUAAACAGGUGUUUGUUUGUUUGUUUGUCUGAUUUUGGUGUAAAAUGUGGAGGCCGGUGAAGGAAUCCUCUGUGUCAGGACACACAGACCUAACUUCCACACACACGAUCGUCUGCUGUGUAAAGUGAUUAAAAAGAGAACAGUCACAGAGUCUCCGUUAGAAACGAGCCGCGUUACGAUGAAAACUGUUCUGGGUAAAGUGAACUUUACUGCUGAACAACAGAUUACUGCCAGAGUCUUUUUACCCCUUUAAAUAUAAGCGCUUACAUGCAGGUUUCUUAAACAUGGAAAAACAGACGCUUGAUCUCGGCCCGAAGAAGAAGAGCCGUACGUGAUGCAGAGGAGACCUGGAGCAGGACGCCGCGCUCCCGUCUUCCACUGUCUGUCAAUCAACCGACCUACGUAACCAGAUUGGAUUGGGGUGAGGACGAAUGGAGGCGGAGGGGGAGGAGGGGGAGGAAGGGAGUGAGGGACAAUGAGAGGUCACUCACCCGUCUGUGUCCUGGAAGUUGACAUUCACUUUCUUUGCCGAGCCGA
Long non-coding RNA from Gasterosteus aculeatus aculeatus (three-spined stickleback), 1168 nucleotides. The record is from Ensembl. Lineage: Eukaryota; Metazoa; Chordata; Actinopteri; Perciformes; Gasterosteidae.